GCCACCGCCCUGUCCUCACAUCCUCGGCGUUGCCUUCCCCUCCCUCUUUUCCACUGACGCCUUGAAAACCCUUAUUUGCGCAUUCACUCACGCUUGAGGGUUAAAAGAUUAAGAGUUUCUCUAAGCACGGCUACCCUUUAAAAGUCACAUUUUCCCCCUUUUUCCAGUCACUCUCUGAAAGAGAACAAAGUAAUUUUCUGAAGGGAAGCUGCAGAAUAUGGAAAACAUAUAUUGGAGCUACAUGGAC
Molecule: small RNA, 247 nt
Filed under: Pongo abelii (Sumatran orangutan)
Lineage: Eukaryota; Metazoa; Chordata; Mammalia; Primates; Hominidae
Description: processed transcript
Source: RNAcentral